RNAcentral lists this small nuclear RNA (79 nucleotides) under Homo sapiens (human). RNAcentral's name for it is "partial ncRNA". Lineage: Eukaryota; Metazoa; Chordata; Mammalia; Primates; Hominidae. The record is from RNAcentral.
AGAGAAUCACUUGAACCCAGGAGGCAGAGGUUGUGGUGAGCUGAGAUCACGCCGUUGCACUCCAGCCUGGGCAACAAGA